UACAGAGGUCCCGAGCGUUGUUCGGAUUCAUUGGGCGUAAAGGGUGCGUAGGUGGCGCUGUAAGUGGGGUGUGAAAUCCCGGGGCUUAACCCCGGGACUGCAUUCCAUACUGCGGUGCUUGAGGACUGGAGAGGAGACUGGAAUUUACGGUGUAGCAGUGAAAUGCGUAGAGAUUGUAAGGAAGACCAGUGGCGAAGGCGGGUCUCUGGACAGUUCCUGACGCUGAGGCACGAAGGUCAGGGGAGCAAACGGG
Molecule: ribosomal RNA, 253 nt
Filed under: uncultured bacterium
Lineage: Bacteria
Description: partial 16S ribosomal RNA
Rfam family: Bacterial small subunit ribosomal RNA
Source: RNAcentral